This 440-nucleotide ribosomal RNA is filed under the name uncultured bacterium. Its description in RNAcentral is "partial 16S ribosomal RNA". It matches the Rfam family "Bacterial small subunit ribosomal RNA", at positions 338 to 795 of the family's 1533-position model. The record is from RNAcentral.
CCUACGGGGGGCAGCAGUAGGGAAUAUUGCUCAAUGGGCGAAACCCUGAAGCAGCAACGCCGCGUGGAGGAUGAAGGUUUUCGGAUUGUAAACUCCUUUUGUUAGAGAAGAUAAUGACGGUAUCUAACGAAUAAGCACCGGCUAACUCCGUGCCAGCAGCCGCGGUAAUACGGAGGGUGCAAGCGUUACUCGGAAUCACUGGGCGUAAAGGGCGCGUAGGCGGGUUAGCAAGUCAGAUGUGAAAUCCUAUGGCUUAACCAUAGAACUGCAUUUGAAACUGUUAUUCUAGAGUAUGUGAGAGGUAGGUGGAAUUCUUGGUGUAGGGGUAAAAUCCGUAGAGAUCAAGAGGAAUACUCAUUGCGAAGGCGACCUGCUAGAACAUAACUGACGCUGAUGCGCGAAAGCGUGGGGAGCAAACAGGAUUAGAUACCCGGGUAGUC